GAAAGUAAGCAAGGGCAGACGGUGGAUGCCUUGGCUCUCGGAGGCGACGAAGGACGUGAUAAGCUGCGAAAAGCUCGGGGGAGGCGCAAAUAGCCGUUGAUCCCGGGAUAUCCGAAUGGGGCAACCCGGCAGGCUGAAGGCCUGCCAUCCCGUAAGGGAGGCGAACGUGGGGAACUGAAACAUCUAAGUACCCAUAGGAGGAGAAAAUAAACAAUGAUUCCGUAAGUAGUGGCGAGCGAACACGGAAGAGCCCAAACCCGUGGCGUCUAGGCGACACGGGGGUUGUAGGACCACGACGUGGCAAGAUAGAGUCAAGUGGAACGCCUUGGAAAAGGCGGUCAUAGAGGGUGAAAACCCCGUACACGACUGACGAUUGAAGCCUAGUGGUAUCCUGAGUAGCGCGGGGCACGAGAAAUCUUGCGUGAAACUGCGGGGCCCAUCCCGUAAGGCUAAAUACUCCCGAGAGACCGAUAGCGAACCAGUACCGUGAGGGAAAGGUGAAAAGAACCCCGAGCAGGGGAGUGAAAUAGACCCUGAACCCGUCUGCCUACAAGCGGUCGGAGCAUCGUCAAGAUGUGACGGCGUGCCUUUUGCAUAAUGAACCUACGAGUUACCUUCCCCGGCAAGGUUAAGUACCUAAGGUACGGAGCCGAAGCGAAAGCGAGUCUGAAGAGGGCGGCCAGUCGGGGGGGGUAGACGCGAAACCGAGUGAUCUACCCUUGGCCAGGUUGAAGGUUGGGUAACACCAACUGGAGGACCGGAUGGGUAAGCGUUGAAAAGCUUUCCAAUGAGCUGAGGGUAGGGGUGAAAGGCUAAUCAAACUCGGAGAUAGCUCGUACUCCCCGAAAUGCAUUUAGGUGCAGCCUCUUUAUAGUAUAUCGUGAGGUAGAGCGACUGAUUGGAUGCGAGGGCUUCACCGCCUAUCAAGUCCAGAUAAACUCCGAAUGCGCGAUAUAUAUUUAAAGGGAGUGAGGGCGCGGGUGCUAAGGUCCGUGUCCGAGAGGAGAAGAAUCCAGACCACCGGCUAAGGCCCCCAAAUGAUCGUUGAGUUGAACUAACGAGGUCGGAUCGCAGAGACAGCUAGGAUGUUGGCUUGGAAGCAGCCAUUCAUUUAAAGAGUGCGUAACAGCUCACUAGUCGAGCGAUCUGGCGUGGAUAAUAAUCGGGCAUAAACGAUCUGCCGAAGCCGUGGAUGUCGUAAGACAUGGUAGGGGAGCAUUCCAUGCCGCGUCGAAGAUGAGGGAUGACCCUUGUUGGAGCGCAUGGAAAAGCAAAUGUAGGUAUGAGUAACGAUAAGGGGGGCGAGAAACCCCCCCGCCGAAAGACCAAGGUUUCCUGAUCAACGCUAAUCGGAUCAGGGUGAGUCGGGACCUAAGGCUAAGCCGAACGGCGACGCCGAUGGAAGAAUGGGUUAAUAUUCCCAUACUGCCUCAUGGAGUGACGUGGAGACGGAGAAGUGACAGUCCUGCCGGCUGACGGAAUAGCCGGUUGAAGGGUGUAGAUAUUGAUUCCCGUAGGCAAAUCCGCGGGGAGAGUCGAACCUGACAGUAUACCGAGUACUUGUACGAGGUAAUAUGGACGUAACCAUGCUCCCAAGAAAAUCCGCUAAACUUAUCCAUGCGGCACCCGUACCGUAAACGGACACACGUGGUCGGGUUGAGAAUACUGAGGCGCUCGAGUGAUUCACGGUUAAGGAACUAGGCAAAUUGACCCUGUAACUUCGGGAUAAAGGGUCCUCGUCGUAAGGCGAGGCGCAGAGAAUAGGUCCAGGCAACUGUUUAACAAAAACACAUGGCUGUGCUAAAUGGAAACAUGACGUAUACAGCCUGACACCUGCCCGGUGCUGGAAGGUUAAGAGGAGAUGUCAUCGCGAGAGAAGCGUUGAAUUGAAGCCCCAGUAAACGGCGGCCGUAACUAUAACGGUCCUAAGGUAGCGAAAUUCCUUGUCGGGUAAGUUCCGACCU
This 1964-nucleotide ribosomal RNA is filed under the name human gut metagenome. Its description in RNAcentral is "bacterial LSU rRNA". It matches the Rfam family "Bacterial large subunit ribosomal RNA", at positions 1 to 1989 of the family's 2925-position model. The record is from RNAcentral.